RNAcentral lists this ribosomal RNA (465 nucleotides) under Triticum aestivum (bread wheat). Its description in RNAcentral is "partial small subunit ribosomal RNA". Lineage: Eukaryota; Viridiplantae; Streptophyta; Magnoliopsida; Poales; Poaceae. The record is from RNAcentral.
AUGGGUGUUCCAAAGAAGAGGGGUGGCAUGGGGUUUAGGGACCUUCACAGUUUUAAACUUGCUAUGUUAGCAAAGCAGUGUUGGCGACUACUCCAAAAUCCCGAUUCUUUGUGUGCACGCGUUCUGAGUGCUAUGUAUUAUCCAAAAAGAGACAUACGGAAGGCAGUGCCUAAAAAGGGCUCAUCGUUCACAUGGCAAAGCAUUGUUGUAGGUAUACAAACCUUCAAGAGAGGGUGUAUUUGGCGGGUUGGAUCUGGUUCACACAUUAAUAUCUGGGAUGAUCCUUGGAUUCCCUCUAGUGAGUUAAGAAUAAUCAUCACACCCAAGGGAGGAACUAUGCUGACAAAGGUUGAAGAAUUAAUUAACCCGCACACGGCCAGUGGGAUGUUGAACUCCUUCAGGACAUUAUCUUCCACGUGGAUGUUACUAGAAUUGUACAAAUUCCUUUGCAUGUUGAAGUUGUAG